CACGUAGGCGGCAUCGUAAGUCAGGGGUGAAAUCCCGGGGCUCAACCCCGGAACUGCCCUUGAAACUGCAGUGCUAGAAUCUUGGAGAGGCGAGUGGAAUUCCGAGUGUAGAGGUGAAAUUCGUAGAUAUUCGGAAGAACACCAGUGGCGAAGGCGACUCGCUGGACAAGUAUUGACGCUGAGGUGCGAAAGCGUGGGGAGCAAACAGGAUUAGAUACCCCAGUA
RNAcentral lists this ribosomal RNA (225 nucleotides) under uncultured Porphyrobacter sp. Its description in RNAcentral is "partial 16S ribosomal RNA". It matches the Rfam family "Bacterial small subunit ribosomal RNA", at positions 568 to 792 of the family's 1533-position model. The record is from RNAcentral. Lineage: Bacteria; Pseudomonadati; Pseudomonadota; Alphaproteobacteria; Sphingomonadales; Erythrobacteraceae.